GGACUACCGGGGUAUCUAAUCCUGUUUGCUCCCCACGCUUUCGCACCUCAGCGUCAGUGUUGGGCCAGAAAGCCGCCUUCGCCACUGAUGUUCCUCCAGAUAUCUACGCAUUUCACCGCUACACCUGGAAUUCCGCUUUCCUCUUCCACACUCGAGCAAGGCAGUCUUGAAUGCAAUUCCCAAGUUAAGCCCGGGGAUUUCACAUCCAACUUACCAAGCCGCCUACGUGCGCUUUACGCCCAGUAAUUCCGAUUAACGCUCGCACCCUCUGUAUUACCGCGGCUGCUGGCAC
This 292-nucleotide ribosomal RNA is filed under the name uncultured bacterium. RNAcentral's name for it is "partial 16S ribosomal RNA". The record is from RNAcentral.